CAGCACCUCAAGUGGUCAGGAUGAUUAUUGGGCCUAAAGCAUCCGUAGCCGGCGCUGUAAGUUUUCGGUUAAAUCUGUACGCUCAACGUACAGGCUGCCGGGAAUACUGCAGCGCUAGGGAGUGGGAGAGGUAGACGGUACUCGGUAGGAAGGGGUAAAAUCCUUUGAUCUAUUGAUGACCACCUGUGGCGAAGGCGGUCUACCAGAACACGUCCGACGGUGAGGGAUGAAAGCUGGGGGAGCAAACCGGAUUAGAUACCGUGUAGUCC
This 269-nucleotide ribosomal RNA is filed under the name uncultured archaeon. RNAcentral describes it as "partial 16S ribosomal RNA". It matches the Rfam family "Archaeal small subunit ribosomal RNA", at positions 477 to 747 of the family's 1478-position model. The record is from RNAcentral.